This 91-nucleotide transfer RNA is filed under the name Chlamydomonas reinhardtii. RNAcentral's name for it is "tRNA-Ser". It matches the Rfam family "tRNA". From Rfam's summary of the family: Transfer RNA (tRNA) molecules are approximately 80 nucleotides in length. Their secondary structure includes four short double-helical elements and three loops (D, anti-codon, and T loops). Lineage: Eukaryota; Viridiplantae; Chlorophyta; Chlorophyceae; Chlamydomonadales; Chlamydomonadaceae. The record is from RNAcentral.
AGGAGAGAUGGCUGAGUGGUCGAAAGCGGCUGAUUGCUAAUCAGUUUAAGUGCGACUUGCGCUUACGAGGGUUCGAAUCCCUCUCUCUCCG